AGAGUUUGAUCCUGGCUCAGGACGAACGCUGGCGGCGUGCUUAACACAUGCAAGUCGAACGGAAAGGCCCUGCUUUUGUGGGGUGCUCGAGUGGCGAACGGGUGAGUAACACGUGAGUAACCUGCCCUUGACUUUGGGAUAACUUCAGAAACUGGGGCUAAUACCGGAUAGGAGCUCCUGCUGCAUGGGGGGGUAGUUUCGGCGGUUGGGGAUGGACUCGCGGCUUAUCAGCUUGUUGGUGGGGUAGUGGCUUACCAAGGCUUUGACGGGUAGCCGGCCUGAGAGGGUGACCGGCCACAUUGGGACUGAGAUACGGCCCAGACUCCUACGGGAGGCAGCAGUGGGGAAUAUUGCACAAUGGGCGGAAGCCUGAUGCAGCAACGCCGCGUGCGGGAUGACGGCCUUCGGGUUGUAAACCGCUUUCGCCUGUGACGAAGCGUGAGUGACGGUAAUGGGUAAAGAAGCACCGGCUAACUACGUGCCAGCAGCCGCGGUGAUACGUAGGGUGCGAGCGUUGUCCGGAUUUACUGGGCGUAAAGGGCUCGUAGGUGGUUGAUCGCGUCGGAAGUGUAAUCUUGGGGCUUAACCCUGAGCGUGCUUUCGAUACGGGUUGACUGAGGAAGGUAGGGGAGAAUGGAAUUCCUGGUGGAGCGGUGGAAUGCGCAGAUAUCAGGAGGAACACCAGUGGCGAAGGCGGUUCUCUGGGCCUUUCCUGACGCUGAGGAGCGAAAGCGUGGGGAGCGAACAGGCUUAGAUACCCUGGUAGUCCACGCUGUAAACGGUGGGUACUAGGUGUGGGGUCCAUUCACGGGUUCCGUGCCGUAGCUAACGCUUUAAGUACCCCGCCUGGGGAGUACGGCCGCAAGGCUAAAACUCAAAUGAAUUGACG
Molecule: ribosomal RNA, 889 nt
Filed under: uncultured bacterium
Lineage: Bacteria
Description: bacterial SSU rRNA
Rfam family: Bacterial small subunit ribosomal RNA
Source: RNAcentral